UGUGGUGGCGAUAGCGAGAAGGAUACACCUGUAACCAUGCCGAACACAGAAGUUAAGCUUCUUAGCGCCGAUUGUAGUGAGGGGUUGCCCCUUG
Molecule: ribosomal RNA, 94 nt
Filed under: Enterococcus faecium
Lineage: Bacteria; Bacillati; Bacillota; Bacilli; Lactobacillales; Enterococcaceae
Source: RNAcentral